GAUGAACGCUGGCGGCGUGCCUAAUACAUGCAAGUCGAGCGAACGGACGAGAAGCUUGCUUCUCUGAUGUUAGCGGCGGACGGGUGAGUAACACGUGGAUAACCUACCUAUAAGACUGGGAUAACUUCGGGAAACCGGAGCUAAUACCGGAUAAUAUUUUGAACCGCAUGGUUCAAAAGUGAAAGACGGUCUUUCUGUCACUUAUAGAUGGAUCCGCGCUGCAUUAGCUAGUUGGGAAGGUAACGGCUUACCAAGGCAACGAUGCAUAGCCGACCUGAGAGGGUGAUAGGCCACACUGGAACUGGGACACGGUCCAGACUCCUACGGGAGGCCGCAGUAGGGAAUCUUACGCAAUGGGCGAAAGCCUGACGGAGCAACGCCGCGUGAGUGAUGAAGGUCUUCGGAUCGUAAAACUCUGUUAUUAGGGAAGAACAUAUGUGUAAGUAACUGUGCACAUCUUGACGGUACCUAAUCAGAAAGCCACGGCUAACUACGUG
Molecule: ribosomal RNA, 497 nt
Filed under: uncultured bacterium
Lineage: Bacteria
Description: partial 16S ribosomal RNA
Rfam family: Bacterial small subunit ribosomal RNA
Source: RNAcentral